Molecule: long non-coding RNA, 435 nt
Filed under: Numida meleagris (helmeted guineafowl)
Lineage: Eukaryota; Metazoa; Chordata; Aves; Galliformes; Numididae
Description: lncRNA (ENSNMEG00000002927.1)
Source: RNAcentral
GAUACCACUUGUGGGGCAGGAAGAGAAACCCAAUGCCACUUAGGGGGCAAAGAGCAGCCCCCAGUGCCACUUAUGGGGCAGAGACGGAUCUCCAUCACCACUUAUGGGGCAGAGACUGACCCCCAUCGCCACUUAUGGGGCAGAGAGCGACCCCCACUUCCACUUAUGGGGCAGAGAGGACCCUCACUUCCACCUAUGGGGCAGAGAGCGACCCCCAUUGCCACUUAUGGGGCAGCCACGGACCUCCUCACCCCACUUCUGGGGCAGAGACUGCCGCCUCAUGCCACUUGUGGGGCAGCGAGCGCCCCCCAUCGCCACUUAUGGGGCAGGAACAGCCCCCCAAUGCCACUUAUGGGGCGCCGGGACCCCCCCCACACACCGCCCCCUCCCCCCAACUUAUGGGGCCGGAGACCCACGGAAGUCCCGCGUCGCUGG